UUAAUUUCUAAACAAUACGAAACCUCUUUCUCUUCUCAACGAAGCCUCCUUCUCCGUAUAAAUGUAAUUUUUUUUGGCCAGGUUCUCUCAAGGUCAACAAUUUCUAUUAAAUUUCUGUGUUUCUUCACUUUUGCUCAAUCUCUUCUUCCCCGUCCCUUCUCUACACCUUGCUGCCCUACUACUUAUCAAUCGUCUUCACCAAAACUCUGAAUCGAACCCUCUCAAUCAUCUUUCUCAGGUACUUUCUACUUCUCAAUUGUGGGAAUUGUUAUUGAUCAUUAUAGACCAGUGAAUUUGGGCAAAAUUUGGGUUUGUUUCAAUUUUGAUUAUUGUUUGGUAAUUAGGGUUUAUUUGUUUGUUUGAUUUCGAAAUUUGAUUUUUCUUUCUUGUUUGAUGCUUAAACCAGUAAUUAAAUUGUGGCAAAUUGAUGUUGUUAUUUGUUUGAUUCUUUCUUGAUGUUGUUAGAAAACAAGUUGGCAGAUUGAUGUUGGGUUCUGGUUUCUAUCUAUAGAUAAAAUGCUCCACUUUCUAUACCAUUGUAUUCUACAUUUAAUUAUAGAUCAAAACUAAUAUUAUCUUAAUUGUUGGGAAUGUCUAAUUCCUAUGAAUAUUUAGGUAAGGAAUGCUAUGGCUGAGAACAACACAAAUAGUAUUUACAGGACAUUCGUCUGGUCGCGCGGUUGCAAUCCUUGCAACCAUCUGGCUACUACUCUGUGCUCACCUACACUUGAUUCAUGAUAGUAGGCCAGGAAGAAGUUAGAACAGUGUUGAUUGCACACAUUAAGUUUGCUUUAGUCUCUUUAGCUUCAAACAUCUACCAAUAGUAGAACAGUGUUGAUAGGCACGUGCCGAUAGUCAUUACCCUUCACCCUGUCAACAUGUUUCAAUGUUGUCUAUAUUUACCUCUCAAAACAAAAGAACAAAAUAAUAAUGAUAUUUUCCUGAUAUUGGUCUGUCCAUCGAUUAGGAAAUGGAUAGGUCUUCAUGGAUCUUAUCAAUCUGUCCAUGUUGGUUGAUUAUCAUUUAAUAGUUAAUAAGUGAUGCUUUCUGUACCCCACCUAUAGGUUAUGUUGAUUGUCCUAUAGGCUGCAAAUGAUGAACUUUAAAAAUAGUUGUCUUAUAAUCUUUGAAUCUAUGUUUUUUGUGAGGUGUUUGGCUGAAAAGUGACAUCAUGAUCCGUAUUAAAAGGAGUUUUCGGGUAUCUAAGAUGUCAUUACUUAGAUACACAUGUAGGAUAUACCUUUUGAACCUUGGUGUUUUUGUGGCAGUCUAUGUUGGUCUGACUUUGAGUCUUUGAGAGGGGGUUAGAAAAUGUUGUGUGUUUAAAGGUGGUUUGUUCAUUGUAAAUUUAUGUUUCCCUUGUUUAUUUAUUUAUUUUUUUUGCCUAUCAGCAAGUAACUGGUAAAUUGUCUCAGCCUACUUUUAGCUUGAUUUAGUAUGUUGUUACUUUAUCAGUCAAAAUAAAUGAAUUACUCUUGAACUUUUUAGUUCCUCCUAUGGAGUCUUUUGUAAAAUAUCAGAGCUGAUAUUUCUUUAUCUAACCAAUAUGUGCUUGGUCAUGAGUGUCCAAAUUCUGUCUUCAUCACAUAUUUUGUAUCUGUGUGUACAUUACACACCAAGAUGAAAUGUAUAUGUAACUCUCAGGAUCGUAUAUUAGAAGAUCUACAUUUAGAGAUCAUAACUAUCAUCACAUGAUAUACCUGGACAUGCCAUUUUGUGGAGAGAGAAUCUCAAGUUCAUAUCAAAUAUAUUACAAUAUCCAAGGAUUUUUCACCCAAAAACCAUUUCACUCACAUAAACUCUUGUUCAGUGAUCUGGUCGUUUUCUUCAGCUUAGGUUUGAGCUUUUUAUUAAGUUAUUAGAGGACAUAAUACUGUAUCAUUUUCAGGUUUCGUAAGGAGAUCCCUUGGUCAAAUAUCAUGUUCUUUACAAGGAUCAGCAUAUUAAUUAAUCUCGCAAGGCAAAAUAGAGUUUUAGGUAAAUAUUUUCCCUUUAUUCAUUUUUCUAAUUUGCAUUUGGAUCUACUUAAAUGAUGCAUCUUACAGAAGGAAAAGCCUUCAUAUGUUCAUCAGACAUUCUUGGUAAAGCCCACAUCUUUUUAUUUUUUAUUUAUAUUUCUUUGAAUUAGAUAUGACAUUGAUUAAGCCAUAUACUUUGCUGUAUGAAUGUCUGUAUCUCAUAUACUGCGUUCCCAAAAAAUAAAAAUUGUUGUGAUCUUUUAAAUUAUAAAUGUAUAUUGUUCGAUUACCUACCUGCAGAGAAAUAAUUUUAAAAUUCUACAACAUUGUCAAGCUACUGAACCAUAUACAGUAUCCUGAAUUUGCAAAUAUGGUUAUAGAGACGUGCUCUUUGACAUUAAAUUGACCAGGAUUCAUCGUGGGUACCCUUGAAAAAUACACGUUUAGUAAUCGUUUUAGCGAUUAGAUGUGCAAGUGUUAACAACAUCAAUUAAGCUGAUGUAAUUAUGACGGUUAGAGCUUCAUUUCUGUAUAAAAAAAAGGGUUGAGAAAGAAUAAGAGAACACAGGACAGUGUACAUAGGACCCACAUUCGGAAGGUAAGAACCAGUAAAGUAGGAACAUCUUCUGUCGACAUAGUUACCUGCUUGAUCCAAGAGUUUUCUUCUUCCAGUUUUGAAUCCAUAAAAAAAUCCUGAGGUAGAUGGACUACUGUGAUCUUCCUCCACUUUAUCUCCUUUCUUUGAAAGUGCUAUGUACAUGCAUAAAGAAUCUUAUACAGUUAGAUAGGUUUAUGGAUAGAAAGUACAAGAAUCCUGCUCAUUCAUAAGUCAAAUGAUGACCAAAAUAUGCAAUAAGCCUAUUUAUUGCUUUCAGAUGUUUUAUAAAAUGAUUAAUGCUAAAAAAAAUAAAAUUAAGGAAUUAGUUUUCUUGAAUUAAAAAGGUAACCAUGGUAUUGAGUUGAGACUUACGAGAACAUAUAUUAAAUUGACAGAGUAUUUAUGGCUUUCCUCUUCUUGAAAUGCAGCCUUGAGUUGAAAGAAAUUCAAAAACUAUAUUCCUCUGCAAAGGAUGGAUAUGAGUCUGUACAACUUUUUACUGUUUCAUGGGUUAGUACAUGUUGAUUGGAGCUCUUAUAAAAUCAUGUAUUAUAUUAUUUUUUUUAUUUUUUGGGUCUUAUUCGUUUGAUUAUCUUAUUUCAUAGUUGACUUUAAGUUUUUUUUUUUUUUUCUAAUUAUGAGUACAAUUCAUUGAAAGAGAAGGAUUUAUAUUUAUUGUCGGACAGCACUCACAAGGGGUGUGAGAAUUGUAUUUAUCCAGAUGAGCAUCCUUACAUUUUAUUAGUUAAAAUCAGGAACCAAGAUGACCCCCCCCCCCCCCCCGAACCUAUCGCCUUCCAUGAUCCCAAGCUAGACAUGCUCUUAGUUUUACCACAAGUCCACAACUGCAGCUUUUUGCCUCUCUAUUACAUAUUAUGAUGUAGGACAUGUUAGGAGUUACUAUUUUAAUUCUAAGUAUGAAAUAGGUUCUAGAAUAUAUUGUUUUAGGUCUAAGUAUAUUAUAUUAGGAAUCAUUAUGUUUUUAGAAGUCGUUUAAUUUAGAAGUCCUUUACUUGUUAAACAAGCUUCUUGCUCUAUAAAAGAAGCUCUAGAUUAUUGUAAUAGAGAGAGGUUGAUUAUUAUUGAAUUGAAUAGAAGAAGUGCUUCUUGAGUUAUCCUUGUUUUCUUGCUAGAUUAUUCAUCUUUUCUUUCUUUUUACUUGGUGGAUUCCAAGCUUCACGUUCGUCUAGGUUCCUAACCCUAUCUUCUCAUCUUCUUUGAGAGAUUCUUAUCUCUUUCUUCUAAGUUCUACAUUAUAUUAUAUAUGUUGCAUGCACUCUUCCAAAAGGACAACAUAUCUUGUCUGCCACAUGGCAUAUCCCAACACACAUACUUAUGACUAAAUGUAGUUCAAAAGGCUGAGUGGAGAGAAUUGAGGAAAACUUUGCUCCAUAACGCUAAGGAGCAAACAUGCUUCAAGCCUUAGGAAAAAAACUGAAUGUAGUGCUUGCAAAAAGAUUGAAUGUAGUGCAUAGGAAAAGACCAUGCUCUUGAGUUCCAUGCUAUUAAGUUUUUCUCGAAAUAAACUUCUGCUAUCUAUGGAGCAUUUUCUAAUUCGUUUUAUCUUAAUUUUUUUCUCACAGACUAAAUCAAAGUCGCAGGAUCACCUCAUAGUGUAACUUUUUGAAUAACACAAUCUGAAGUAUUUAAAGCUUACAAAUUGGAAUAGCAAGCACUUUUCUAAUGUUCAGCUGUUGGUGUAACUAUUGAGGAAUUCUCCUAAUAUUAAAACCCUUGGGUUGGAAACGAAUCAGGUAUAUAACCCAAAGCUUACUUGAUAUUGUGAUCUCAAAAACUCUCUCUUAAACGUAAUCCUUUUUCCUUAUUCUCUUCCUUUUCUUCUCUUUAUACCACUUUUUUAUUGUCAUACAGAAAAUCCUACAUAGACAUGUGGCUGCUUACAUAUAAUAUUAAAUUGUCUUCUUCAGGUUUUUUUCUCUGUUCAAUUUGGCGACUGUUGAUUGCUCUAACAACUCUCCUCUUCACUGGUAAUCUCUCUAUUCCUUCUCCUUUUACCACUUACUCAUUCUCUUAAUUUUCUAAUGAAAUCAAAGUAAUGAAUCUUAUAACUUCUUAUUGGAUCGGAAUUAUGAAUACUCUUUGUUUAUGACGUGAUUAAAAAAUAAUUAAUUGGGAUGAAUAAAACCUCCCAUUAAAAGAACAACAGUGAUAUUAAUUUCAGAUACCACCCAUUCAAAAAUUUAUUUUUUUGUGAAUCUGUGUUUUGAAUCUGUCUUUUUGUUUCAUUAACAACGGAAUAUUUCUCUAUUAACAAGGUCGGUCUCCUCCUUCACUUCCAUCUCUUAUAUACUAUAUUCUCUUUACUUUUAGGUUUGCAUUCUAUUUUGUUUUACUACAAGUGAGUCUAAGUGAGAGUGAAUUAAGAGAUGAUUACACAUGCUCUGAUUGUUGGCAUUAUAUUAAUCCUUACAAAAUAAAUAUAGAUGAACUCGUGAUUCAUGAAGUAAUUAGUGGCUCUAAGCUCAAUAUCAAUAUGAUCAAGGACUGCUCCAAUAUUUACAAGUUAGAUUUUCUAAUAGUUAUCCAUUUGUAAGAGAUUGAAAACAAUAGCCAAUUUGCAGAGAUGAAUAUUGUUCAAUAUUAUCCAAUAUUGGGAACAUAUAUCCAGUUUUCAUUCUAUUUUGCAGUAAAAUUAAUAAGACAUCUCAUCCCAAUCAAUAAAUAGAAUCAACAAAGUUAUGAUGCAACAAUAAAUGGCUUUUUUUUUAUCACACUAAUAGAUUUUUUGUUUGUGCUAUAGGCUUGCAAUUCCAUAGUACUUGUUUGGUGGAUUCAUCGAUUCAAAAUGUGUUUACCUUAUUAAGCAAUUCUAAAUUGAAGAGUUCUAAAGCAGCCCUGCUUCCCUU
RNAcentral lists this long non-coding RNA (5423 nucleotides) under Aquilegia coerulea. Its description in RNAcentral is "long non-coding RNA (ACOE_LNC002219)". The record is from RNAcentral. Lineage: Eukaryota; Viridiplantae; Streptophyta; Magnoliopsida; Ranunculales; Ranunculaceae.